CGCAAUCUGUGUAAUUAGUUUUUUAAUCUAUUGUGGGGACACCCAAUUUAGGCUUGGUGCCCCAAAAAUCCACUCGCGAUCGUCCAGGAUUUCGAUCACGCACAGAUUGAUAUACAGAACAACUUAUACAGGUUUAUUCAUACAAGCUGAUUAUACUACUGUUAAAAGGUGAAAAGAUCCAAACUAAAAUAUCCUUAUUUGAAAUACAAGAAAAUCCAAAGUACUAAACUCCUAAACUUCUUCAACUACUAGAACUACAAUUAAUAAAUUCCAAAGAAUUUCAAAGAACUCCACAGGCAAAAGCUCGAGUGUAGACUAGCCUAGAAAAACUCGUCGUUGUCGUAGAUCUCGCUUCCUUCUGAUCUCCUUGUUAGCACGUUUCCUCUAUAUGUCAAAUUAUGCAAGGGAGAGUACUUUUGUAUUUAGCAAGACAUAUUAUAAAUAAUUAAAGGUGAAUAGAUAUGAAUAAAUAAACAAUAAUAAAGUAAAGGAAUAAUAAAAACCAUAAAUCAUCUUUAUCCUCAACAUUUUAAUUUUAAAACUACUUAUACUUCAGGAGUAGGAAUCACCCUAUUGACACAACUCCAGAAUCAGGAGUACGGCACAUUCGAAUGAUUUAAUUCACCUCUGCAGAGACUGUCCAGCUUUACCCACACGAUGCCCACAACUAGCUAGGCUGAGAACAACAGAGCCGUUCGAAGGUCCCACUUACUACUAGUUACUGCACAGUGGGGUCUUGGUUCAUCAUAGUGGUCAAACUCUUGCUAGGCCUAGGCAAGGUAUCUAUAUCGUCACACUUUCAUGAAUCCCACUGUUGUGAAACACUGCCGCCCAAACUUCUUACGCAAGUUCACCCCAAUACCGCUCAUAGAGCCACCCAACAGUCUUUCAUAUAGUGGGACAAUGUACUAGGCUAAGUUCAAUUACUUGAUUGUGUGGAUGGACGCAACUAUGUCAUUUCCAUGGUAUAAGGGGGUAAUUAUAAUCUGGUUAAACCACCCAAAACUUUCCAAACUCCCCACACCAAAAUCACAAACUUCAUCAUUCAUCAACAUUCAUAAUUUUCAACAUUCAUAAUCUCAAUUCAUAAAUGCCCAUUUUAACCGGAUUCCUAAGUUUGUAAAGUUGUUUGGAAUAGUAAAUCACAUAAAAUCAUAACCAAUGCUUCUUUUUAUAACCUCAUGCAAUAAUACUUGGAUGCAUUUAACAUCUACCCAUGAGACGUUAAAAGGGUAAGGUAUCAUGCAUAAAAUGAAGAUUAUAUUAAGUUUUCUAUAUGAUCAAAAUUUUAGCUAUGUCUUGCCUUGCGCCUUAAGAUUUCCCGCGGCUUUAGCAUAGCCAUCUGGGUCCACAUCAGCUCCUUGGAUGCUGAUAAAACUUGUUGUACGGUCUAACGUACGAAUACGAAAAAAUAGCAAAUAAAGCCUAUAAGCAAAUUGCUACAAAGAAACGAUAAAAACCAAGGAAUAAAUAAAAUUGGAGCAAGGCGAAGGAAAAAGGAAUGGUUCAAAAUAAAUUUUAGUUUGGAAAACAAAAGAGAGGUUUUGGUUUCUAAAGGUUGGAAUUGAGGAAAAGGAUAAAAUGGAUAGGUGGGGUUGAUUUGGUGGAUUUGGUUUUCUAGUCGGUGCUAGAAUGGAGUAGCACGACGGUUAGAUAUUUGGAGUGGUUAGCCGAUGCUAAGGUUGGUAGCAUAACAGCUAAAUAUCGGCUCGUCUAGUUGAUGCUACAGUUAAGUAGCACAACGGCUAGUGAGUUGGGAGAUUUGUGUGGAGCGGAAGAGUGUUACUCUGCAGUUGUGAGUGACAACAGAGUGGCUAGGGUCGCACAUAGCUCAAGGACUAGUGUGCGGCAUGCUUGUGGAGGUCGAGGGAGUAGUGAGGCUCCGACCACUGUACGCGUUGAGGCGUGGGGUGCGAAGAGCGACACUUCGACCUUAGGAUUAGGUUAUGCCGGGUUUUACGACCAACGGUUUGACGUCGGGGUUUGAGACCACGCGAACGUCUCCAUAGAAGGUGUAAAGUUUCCACGGCGGCUUUUUGGUGGCUAAGGAUUGUAAAAGAAUGGUUUAAAGAAAUUUGAAUUCAAAUAGAGUUUUUUUAAAAAUAGAUUAAAGAAAUAAAAUUUAAAAUGGUAUUUUAAAAGAAAUAAAGAAAAGGUAAUUAAAUAAAUAAAGAAAGGAUAUUUAAAGAUAUUUAAAGAUAAUUUAAUUUAAAAAUGGUUUUAAAUAAAAUAAGAAAUUUUAAAAUUAAAGGGAUUUAAGAUAAAUCAAAUAGGUUUAAAUUAAAAGGGUAUUUAAACAAAAUUUUAAAUAGGAAAUUUGGUAUCAAAAGGGAGGGAUUGAAAUUACAUGAAUUUAGAUCAAAGGUUCACUGGAAUUGGAUUUGUGGUUGGAGAGAUAUGGGUGCCUAAAGUUUGGAAUUUGAAAUAACUCAAAUAAAAGAAAAGGGAUUACUGUACAGUGGGGCUCGCUUGUCAUAUCUCUUCUACUUCUUCUUCUUCUCUGCUUCUUUGAUCCGAGAGAAGGGAGAGAAGAGGGCGAGCGGGGCGCCGGCUCUCCGGUGGUCGGGAGGUGGGAACGCCGGUAGGAGAUGGUGUUCCCGAGCAACGCGCACCCGGAGAGGGUGGUGGAAGGCGGAGGGAGAGAGAGGGAUGGCCGGAACGGCGGCAACAAGAGCUCAGUUCCGGCGAUAAGAGAAGGUGGUGGUGGCGGCUUAUCCCAAGGUGGAGGGAGAGGGGAAGGGGAAAAAUGGAAUCACCUGGGCGAGGCGGAGUUGGUGGCGCAAGGGUUUGGCUUGCGAAGCUUCGGUGAGGGAGAUCGGCCGACGGUAGUGAUGGCCGGACAUGGGAGUAGAGAGAGAAAAAG
This 2863-nucleotide long non-coding RNA is filed under the name Oryza sativa (Asian cultivated rice). RNAcentral's name for it is "long non-coding RNA (OSAT_LNC001516)". Lineage: Eukaryota; Viridiplantae; Streptophyta; Magnoliopsida; Poales; Poaceae. The record is from RNAcentral.